This 334-nucleotide unclassified non-coding RNA is filed under the name soil metagenome. RNAcentral's name for it is "partial contains 5.8S ribosomal RNA, internal transcribed spacer 2, and large subunit ribosomal RNA". The stretch from base 1 to 120 matches the Rfam family "5.8S ribosomal RNA", at positions 35 to 154 of the family's 154-position model. The record is from RNAcentral.
GAUGAAGAACGUAGCGAAAUGCGAUAAGUAGUGUGAAUUGCAGAAUUCAGUGAAUCAUCGAAUCUUUGAACGCACAUUGCGCCCGCCAGUAUUCUGGCGGGCAUGCCUGUUCGAGCGUCAUUUCAACCAUCGAGCCCUGCUUGCGUUGUGGUCCUGCGGCUGCCCGCAGGCCCUGAAAACCAGUGGCGGGCUCGCUAGUCACACCGAGCGCAGUAAUACAUCUCGCUUUGGGCGUGCGGCGGGUUCUUGCCGUUAAACACCCCCUUUUUACCAAGGUUGACCUCGGAUCAGGUAGGAAUACCCGCUGAACUUAAGCAUAUCAAUAAGCGGAGGA